This 328-nucleotide unclassified non-coding RNA is filed under the name soil metagenome. RNAcentral describes it as "partial contains 5.8S ribosomal RNA, internal transcribed spacer 2, and large subunit ribosomal RNA". The stretch from base 1 to 120 matches the Rfam family "5.8S ribosomal RNA", at positions 35 to 154 of the family's 154-position model. The record is from RNAcentral.
GAUGAAGAACGUAGUGAAAUGCGAUAAGUAAUGUGAAUUGCAGAAUUCAGUGAAUCAUCGAAUCUUUGAACGCACAUUGCGCCCCUUGGUAUUCCGAGGGGCAUGCCUGUUCGAGCGUCAUUAUAACCCUUCAAGCUCAGCUUGGUGUUGGGGCCUGCUGUAACUGGUAGCCCUUAAAAUCAGUGGCAGUGCUAUUAGGCUCUAAGCGUAGUAAUUCUUCUCGCUAUAGUGUGUAGUGAGCGCUUGCCAGAACCCCAAACUUUUAUAUGAUUGACCUCGGAUCAGGUAGGGAUACCCGCUGAACUUAAGCAUAUCAAUAAGCGGAGGA